Molecule: long non-coding RNA, 1690 nt
Organism: Cyanistes caeruleus (blue tit)
Lineage: Eukaryota; Metazoa; Chordata; Aves; Passeriformes; Paridae
Source: Ensembl
GGGACCCGCGGCUGUCCCGGGAUGUCCCCGGGCUGUCCCCGGGCUGUCCCCGGGCUGUCCCCGGGCUGUCCCCGGGAUGUCCCUGGGAUGUCCCCGGGAUGUCCCCGGGAUGUCCCCGGGCUGUCCCCGGGAUGUCCCCGGGAUGUCCCCGGGCUGUCCCCGAGCUGUCCCCGGGCUGUCCCCCGGCUGUCCUCGAGUUCUCCCGGAGCCUCCGGAGCUUCGGCAGCGCCGGGAGCAGCGAGGGCAGCGCCGGGCUCGGAUCUGUCCUGGCCCAGUCCCUGGCCCGGGACAUUCCCGCUCCAUCCCGGUCCAUCCUGGGACAUUCCCAGUCCAUCCUGGGACAUUCCCGAGACAUUCCCGCUCCAUCCUGGGACAUUCCCGGUCCAUCCCGGGACAUUCCCGGUCCAUCCUGGAACAUUCCCGGUUCAUCCUGGGACAUUCCGGAGCCAUUCCCGGUCCCAUCCCGCUCCAUCCCGGUCCAUCCUGGGACAUUCCCGGUUCAUUUUGGGACAUUCCCGCUCCAUCCCGGGACAUUCCCGGUCCAUCCCAGGACAUUCCCGGUCCAUCCCGGUCCAUCCUGGGACAUUCCCAAGCCAUUCCCACUCCAUCCAGCCCAUCCCGGUCCAUCCCGGUUCAUCCCAGCCCAUCCCGGUUCAUCCCAGUCCAUUCCCGGUCCCAUUCCCGGUCCAUCCCGGUGCAUUCCCGGUCCAUCCCGGUCCCAUCCCGGUGCAUUCCCGGUCCAUCCCAGCCCAUCCCGGUCCCAUCCCGGUCCAUUCCGGUCCAUUCCCGGUCCAUCCCGGUCCAUCCCAGCCCAUCCCGGUCCCAUCCCGGUCCAUCCCAGCCCAUCCCGGUGCAUUCCCGGUGCAUUCCCGGUCCAUCCCGGUCCCAUCCCGGUCCAUCCCGGUCCAUUCCCGGUCCCAUCCCGGUCCCGGCUCCGCCGCCCCGCCCGCCUCUGCUUUAUCCCGCUCUCAAUAAAGUCGUUCCCUGCAUCAGCCGCCGCUUCCCGAGCCUCAUUCCCGGUCCCAUCCCGGGACAAACCCCGCCCGUUUUUCCAUGGAUUCCCCACCCCUGGAGCCACCUGGAACACCGGGAAUGUCCCUGCCCGCGGGGUUGGGGUGGGGUUGGAUGGGAUUUAAGGAUCUUUUCCAUCCCAAACCAUUCCAGCAUUCCCUGGGUUGGUUUCUUUGGGAUUUCUGGGAUAAAUCCUGGAUCCUGCUGGAGAUUUUCCAUGGAUUUCCCAUCCCUGGGAGUCUCCAGGACCCCCUGGCACGCUGGGAAUGUCCCCAGCCCGGGAUUUUUAAGGAUCUUUUCCAUCCCAAACCAUUCCAGGAUUCCCUGUUUUGGCUCAGAUGGGAUUUUCGGGAUAAAUCCCGGAUCCUGGCCCGGAUUUUUCCAUGGAUUCCAUGGAUUCGAACCAAAAACUUGCCAAAAAUCCCCCCCGAGGAUUUGGAAUUUCAGCUGCUGGAAGGAGAAUUUUAUUGGGAUUUUUGAUCAGAAAUAUCAGAAAAUGAUUUUUUAGCUCCAGAAUUGGAAUUUUGGCAUCAAGCUCCAGGGAAAAAGUGAUGGGGAGGGAAAAGGAGGUGGAAAAAAUGGGAGAAAUCGGCAAUUUCCUGGGAUCAGAGGCGGACGUUGGAGUCCGUGAAUUCCCAAAUCCAGAAUUCCCAAAUAAAUCCUGGGAUUCCCGGGAUCA